ACUUCUUUAUCACCGAGUGCUUGCACUCACCGAUAAAGAGUUGAGUGGCGAACGGGUGAGUAACACGUGGGCAACCUGCCCAAAAGAGGGGGAUAACACUUGGAAACAGGUGCUAAUACCGCAUAACCAUAGUUACCGCAUGGUAACUAUGUAAAAGGUGGCUAUGCUACCGCUUUUGGAUGGGCCCGCGACGCAUUAGCUAGUUGGUGGGGUAAAGGCUUACCAAGGCAAUGAUGCGUAGCCGAACUGAGAGGUUGAUCGGCCACAUUGGGACUGAGACACGGCCCAAACUCCUACGGGAGGCAGCAGUAGGGAAUCUUCCACAAUGGGCGAAAGCCUGAUGGAGCAACGCCGCGUGGGUGAAGAAGGUCUUCGGAUCGUAAAACCCUGUUGUUAGAGAAGAAAGUGCGUGAGAGUAACUGUUCACGUUUCGACGGUAUCUAACCAGAAAGCCACGGCUAACUACGUGCCAGCAGCCGCGGUAAUACGUAGGUGGCAAGCGUUAUCCGGAUUUAUUGGGCGUAAAGAGAACGCAGGCGGUCUUUUAAGUCUGAUGUGAAAGCCUUCGGCUUAACCGGAGUAGUGCAUUGGAAACUGGGAGACUUGAGUGCAGAAGAGGAGAGUGGAACUCCAUGUGUAGCGGUGAAAUGCGUAGAUAUAUGGAAGAACACCAGUGGCGAAAGCGGCUCUCUGGUCUGUAACUGACGCUGAGGUUCGAAAGCGUGGGUAGCAAACAGGAUUAGAUACCCUGGUAGUCCACGCCGUAAAC
Molecule: ribosomal RNA, 769 nt
Filed under: uncultured bacterium
Lineage: Bacteria
Description: bacterial SSU rRNA
Rfam family: Bacterial small subunit ribosomal RNA
Source: RNAcentral